This 444-nucleotide ribosomal RNA is filed under the name Lepomis gibbosus (pumpkinseed sunfish). Its description in RNAcentral is "partial large subunit ribosomal RNA". It matches the Rfam family "Bacterial large subunit ribosomal RNA", at positions 2002 to 2597 of the family's 2925-position model. Lineage: Eukaryota; Metazoa; Chordata; Actinopteri; Centrarchiformes; Centrarchidae. The record is from RNAcentral.
CAACGAGGGCUUGACUGUCUCCUUUUUCAAGUCAAUGAAAUUGAUCUCCCCGUGCAGAAGCGGGGAUAAAACAAUAAGACGAGAAGACCCUAUGGAGCUUUAGACGCCUGAGUAAGUCACGUUAAACACCCCCGGACACGGGGCUAAACCAAAUGAAAAUUACUCCAUGUCUUUGGUUGGGGCGACCGCGGGGAACCAAAAAACCCCCACGUGGACUGGAAUUAUGCAAUUCCACAACUAAGAGCCCCCGCUCUAGUUAACAGUAUCACUGACCAAUUAAGAUCCGGCAGAGCCGAUCAACGAACCGAGUUACCCUAGGGAUAACAGCGCAAUCCCCUUUUAGAGCCCAUAUCGACAAGGGGGUUUACGACCUCGAUGUUGGAUCAGGACAUCCUAAUGGUGCAGCCGCUAUUAAGGGUUCGUUUGUUCAACGAUUAAAGUCCU